Molecule: ribosomal RNA, 297 nt
Filed under: Triticum aestivum (bread wheat)
Lineage: Eukaryota; Viridiplantae; Streptophyta; Magnoliopsida; Poales; Poaceae
Description: partial small subunit ribosomal RNA
Source: RNAcentral
AUGUUCUGCUUCUGUCUCCUCACUCUUUGCUUCAUCUCGGCUGCAAGGAUGGGCAGAGCUCAUGGAGAUCUGCUCCGACCCGUUGUCGCUCUACUACGCUCGUUCUGCGACCUCCUUGCCUUCAGUACCACUUGUCGUCAUUGUGGCGCUAAGGUUGGUCCUCCUUCCCUCCGGUCAGUUCACUUCACUUGCAUCAGCUAUGUCACCUUAACUGCCCCUGUUGCAUCCACUGAUUCGCAUCUCCUUGUCGGUGUUGGAGCAUAUCUGUUCCUGUGGCGCAUCGGGAGCGACUCUUAG